CUUGAUGGUCGGAAUCUAACAAUACCGAUUAAUUCCAUCAUUAGUCCAAAUUAUGAAGAAGUUAUCAAAGGAGAAGGUAUGCCCAUUCCCAAGGAACCUAGCAAAAAAGGGAACUUGCGAGUGAAGUUUAACAUCAAGAGACCUUGUCUUCAUAAUCGAUGAGAAGCCGCAUAGUGUCUUCAAGAGAGAUGGCAAUGAUCUCGUUGUCACCCAGAAGAUCUCUCUGGUAGAGGCUCUUACUGGAUAUACUGCUCAAAUAACAACGCUUGAUGGUCGGAAUCUAACAAUACCGAUUAAUUCCAUCAUUAGUCCAAAUUAUGAAGAAGUUAUCAAAGGAGAAGGUAUGCCCAUUCCCAAGGAACCUAGCAAAAAAGGGAACUUGCGAGUGAAGUUUAACAUCAAGUUCCCCAGCAAGCUUACUUCUGAGCAGAAAGCUGGCAUUAAGCGAUAUUUAACAUGAUUAUUGAACAUUAGCACCUAGAGUUUUAUUUAUCAAAUUCUACUACAUAAGCUUGUCCUCUGUCUUUGCUUUUGUUGGCCAUGCAAAGAAAUGUACACACUAUUCGUUUGUGGAUUUCUUCUGAAACCUUCAGUCCG
RNAcentral lists this long non-coding RNA (597 nucleotides) under Nicotiana benthamiana. Its description in RNAcentral is "long non-coding RNA (NBEN_LNC033841)". Lineage: Eukaryota; Viridiplantae; Streptophyta; Magnoliopsida; Solanales; Solanaceae. The record is from RNAcentral.